UACGUAGGGGGCAAGCGUUAUCCGGAUUUACUGGGUGUAAAGGGAGCGUAGACGGUAUGGUAAGUCAGAUGUGAAAGCCCGGGGCUCAACCCCGGGACUGCAUUUGAAACUAUCAAACUGGAGUGCAGGAGAGGUAAGUGGAAUUCCUAGUGUAGCGGUGAAAUGCGUAGAUAUUAGGAGGAACACCAGUGGCGAAGGCGGCUUACUGGACUGUAACUGACGUUGAGGCUCGAAAGCGUGGGGAGCAAACAGGAUUAGAUACCCCGGUAGUCCCUGAGCGGG
Molecule: ribosomal RNA, 282 nt
Filed under: uncultured prokaryote
Description: partial 16S ribosomal RNA
Rfam family: Bacterial small subunit ribosomal RNA
Source: RNAcentral